RNAcentral lists this ribosomal RNA (242 nucleotides) under Staphylococcus aureus. Its description in RNAcentral is "partial 16S ribosomal RNA". It matches the Rfam family "Bacterial small subunit ribosomal RNA", at positions 1033 to 1276 of the family's 1533-position model. The record is from RNAcentral. Lineage: Bacteria; Bacillati; Bacillota; Bacilli; Caryophanales; Staphylococcaceae.
GACAGGUGGUGCAUGGUUGUCGUCAGCUCGUGUCGUGAGAUGUUGGGUUAAGUCCCGCAACGAGCGCAACCCUUAAGCUUAGUUGCCAUCAUUAAGUUGGGCACUCUAAGUUGACUGCCGGUGACAAACCGGAGGAAGGUGGGGAUGACGUCAAAUCAUCAUGCCCCUUAUGAUUUGGGCUACACACGUGCUACAAUGGACAAUACAAAGGGCAGCGAAACCGCGAGGUCAAGCAAAUCCCA